RNAcentral lists this transfer RNA (74 nucleotides) under Gaeumannomyces tritici R3-111a-1. Its description in RNAcentral is "tRNA-Asn (GTT) (tRNA-Asn-GTT-1 1 to 3)". It matches the Rfam family "tRNA". Rfam says of the family: Transfer RNA (tRNA) molecules are approximately 80 nucleotides in length. Their secondary structure includes four short double-helical elements and three loops (D, anti-codon, and T loops). The record is from RNAcentral. Lineage: Eukaryota; Fungi; Ascomycota; Sordariomycetes; Magnaporthales; Magnaporthaceae. RNAcentral also lists the same sequence under 1 other name.
GUCUCCGUGGCGCAAUUGGCUAGCGCGUCUGACUGUUAAUCAGGAGGUUCCUGGUUCGAGCCCAGGCGGGGACG